ACUGGCAGCAAUAUCAACUGCAGCAAAAACUGCCAAUAACAAGACUGUUGUUAAGGAAACAUCUUUCUGUAAAAAGACAAUUAGAUUAAUCGAAAUUGAAUCAAAAUUGCCUUAAAGUUACCUUUCAAAUAUUUCCAGCCUAAGGGACCUAAAAGUAUGGUGAAAAAAGGACUUCGUUUUAUAGGAAGAUAUUCAUUAUCAUGGCGAUUCCAUUUCAGUUUGACCAAUAUUUGAAUGAGAAAGGAAAAUUGUUCAAUCUCGUUAAUAUAAGUCACCAGAUUCAGCAUCAAUUGAUUCAAGAUUGGAAGAUUAAAAGAAACAUAAAAUCACUUAAAAA
Molecule: non-coding RNA, 337 nt
Organism: Tetranychus urticae (two-spotted spider mite)
Lineage: Eukaryota; Metazoa; Arthropoda; Arachnida; Trombidiformes; Tetranychidae
Source: RefSeq, a predicted model, not a curated record